Molecule: long non-coding RNA, 1073 nt
Filed under: Sus scrofa (pig)
Lineage: Eukaryota; Metazoa; Chordata; Mammalia; Artiodactyla; Suidae
Description: lncRNA (ENSSSCG00055002471.1)
Source: RNAcentral
GGGGCCGAGCCCUUCAUGUCUCGGGCUGUCCACACUCCAAGCGCGGUACGUGCGCCCAGGCCUCCAUCUUGCAUCUCAGUGUGAGCCUGGCGCUUGCGCACACAGCUUGCCUGCUAUGCUGAGGGGUGGGUGCAGCCGCUUGCCACGAGGAGGAGCUCUGGUCUGAAGCUCCUGGUGCGAGGUCUCUGCUCAGACCACCCUGUAAGCAAGUGAAACUCAACCAAGCACGAAGGAAAGAAAGGACAAGGGGACGGACACUAAGAAGGGGAUGUAUUGUCUGCGUGUGUUGCCUUCACACCUUUGAAUUCUAAAGGGAUGGCAGGGGCAGCUAACAGAGAGCAGAGAGGAGGCAUCCGGAAUCCCAUGUGGCACAUUUAUGUCAACUGCAUGUCAAUCAGAUGCAAGUGAAGACUAAGCAGUUCCAGCACGGGAACCUCUGAAAAUCAAGACCACAUCAUCCUGAUGUUUUGGCAUUUUGCCCAUUGCCUCAGCAUGUGCUUUUAAAGAGAGCUCUCUAUUGCCGUCUCAUGGUGAAUGAGUGAAUGGCUGGGAUUAGGAGACAAAACUGGCUACCACCACUAAGCAGAAAGAUUCCACAAAGGCAAAGGGGAAGCUUACAUGAAGCAGACCUGAGUUCCUGCUAUUACUUAUGUGCAACAUCAGAAAGAGAAUUCCAUGGUAAGUGUAGACAGUCUCUAAGGUUUGAGGCUCACCAUAUGAAGGAAUGUUUUCCUGGAAAGCUCUUCUUCUCCAGUCUGGCAUUCAUCCUUCUGAAACAUUUACCCUUCUGUCAGCUGGUCCUCUGGCCUAUUAAAACCAGAUCCCAGCUGGGAUGCCUUACACUGGUGACUUGGAGAACAAGAAAACAGUGCUACUUCUUCCUUCAUAACAAUAUAACUGAUGGGCUCAACAUUGUAAUCAGGUCAGUAAACUGCAUGUUUUACUGAUACUACUCGUCAAAUAGUUACACACUAGGUAAGGGGGAGUGAGGAAAUCCUUUUUUACUAACUAAAAAUGCUAUUUGACAACACAGAGAAAAAAACCAUUAUAAUAAUCUGGUUUUCAUUGGCCUC